Long non-coding RNA from Hemicordylus capensis (graceful crag lizard), 428 nucleotides. RefSeq lists it as uncharacterized. The record is from RefSeq and is a predicted model, not a curated record. Lineage: Eukaryota; Metazoa; Chordata; Lepidosauria; Squamata; Cordylidae. The transcript is spliced from 3 exons.
GGCAGCCAGAGUGGCCACCACUGUUCUCUGCAGCAGAAGACCCCUUGCUGCCAGACUGUAGACUGCAGUACAACUGUGAGAUUUCUAGGUUAAAGCUCAGAAUGAGCCCAGCAAUGGGAGGCAGGGCAGGCAAGGAAUGACAUACUUUUCCUUACCACAGAAAGGACAUUUCUGUGACACAUCGGAAUGAAAUGAAAUUAUCAUGCAAAGAAUGGCAAAGUAUUGGACAAAAAUGGGAAAAAUCCUAAAAAGUAAAAGGUUUGGGCAUGCUUAAAAUAACUCCUAAAAAUGGCAACUUUAUUUAUUUAUUUAUUUAUUUAAUUUUACAUUUGUAUCCCACUCUUCGUCCAUGGAGCUCAGAGUGGUGUACAUGGUUAUGUUUUUCCUCACCACAACCGUCAGGUAGGUUAGGCUGAGAGAGAAGUAAC